Molecule: non-coding RNA, 26 nt
Filed under: Rattus norvegicus (Norway rat)
Lineage: Eukaryota; Metazoa; Chordata; Mammalia; Rodentia; Muridae
Source: RNAcentral
UGAGCUAACAGUUGUGACACAUGGCU